This 513-nucleotide ribosomal RNA is filed under the name Platycerus viridicuprus. Its description in RNAcentral is "partial 16S ribosomal RNA". The stretch from base 128 to 327 matches the Rfam family "Archaeal large subunit ribosomal RNA", at positions 1797 to 2106 of the family's 2987-position model. Lineage: Eukaryota; Metazoa; Arthropoda; Insecta; Coleoptera; Lucanidae. The record is from RNAcentral.
UUUUAUUAUUAGUUUAGAUUUUUUAAUUUUUAGUUAAUUUAUUAAUAUUUUAUGAGAAAUUAUAAUUUAUAAGUAAUUAUGAUUAAAUUAGUAUAAGUUAUUGUGAAGUUUAUUAUUUAUUUUUAGGUUAAAUUAAGGAAUUCGGCAAAUUGAUUUUCUGCCUGUUUAUUAAAAACAUGUCUUUUUGUAAUUAUUUAAAGUCGGGCCUGCCCUAUGAUUAUUUAAAUGGCCGCGGUAUUUUGACCGUGCAAAGGUAGCAUAAUAAUUAGUUUCUUAAUUAGAAGCUGGUAUGAAUGGUUUGACAAGAAAAUUUCUGUCUCAAUUUAAUUAUUAGAAUUUAACUUUUGAGUUAAAAGGCUUAAAUGCUUUUAAAAGACGAGAAGACCCUAUAGAAUUUUACAUUUAAUUUGUUUAAGAUUUUAUGGAUUAUUUAUUUUUAAUUAAAUUGUUUGUUUUGUUGGGGUGAUGGAAAAACUAAAAUAACUUUUUCUUAUUUUAUUCAUUAAUUUAUGA